This 195-nucleotide unclassified non-coding RNA is filed under the name uncultured fungus. RNAcentral's name for it is "sequence contains ITS1, 5.8S rRNA gene". The record is from RNAcentral. Lineage: Eukaryota; Fungi.
GCGUUUUGAGCAGCGCGCCGUUGUUGAGAAGGGGUUUGGUUUGGUUUGGGCUUGUAGCGUUCUCGUUCUGUUGGCGUGUUUUCGUUCUCGUUCUCGUUUGGCAGCGUUCUCGUUUGCAGACCCAAAACAACAAAACCAAACACUCUGAAACUCUUUUGCUUUGCUUUGCUUUGAUUCGACUAGACUAAACUAAAA